Molecule: ribosomal RNA, 392 nt
Filed under: Enterobacter sp. AJ 9-2
Lineage: Bacteria; Pseudomonadati; Pseudomonadota; Gammaproteobacteria; Enterobacterales; Enterobacteriaceae
Description: bacterial SSU rRNA
Rfam family: Bacterial small subunit ribosomal RNA
Source: RNAcentral
AUAACUACUGGAAACGGUAGCUAAUACCGCAUAACGUCGCAAGACCAAAGAGGGGGACCUUCGGGCCUCUUGCCAUCAGAUGUGCCCAGAUGGGAUUAGCUAGUAGGUGGGGUAACGGCUCACCUAGGCGACGAUCCCUAGCUGGUCUGAGAGGAUGACCAGCCACACUGGAACUGAGACACGGUCCAGACUCCUACGGGAGGCAGCAGUGGGGAAUAUUGCACAAUGGGCGCAAGCCUGAUGCAGCCAUGCCGCGUGUAUGAAGAAGGCCUUCGGGUUGUAAAGUACUUUCAGCGGGGAGGAAGGUGUUGUGGUUAAUAACCACAGCAAUUGACGUUACCCCGCAGAAGAAGCACCGGCUAACUCCGUGCCAGCAGCCGCGGUAAUACGAA